This 483-nucleotide ribosomal RNA is filed under the name Bithynia goniomphalos. Its description in RNAcentral is "partial large subunit ribosomal RNA". It matches the Rfam family "Bacterial large subunit ribosomal RNA", at positions 1854 to 2610 of the family's 2925-position model. The record is from RNAcentral. Lineage: Eukaryota; Metazoa; Mollusca; Gastropoda; Littorinimorpha; Bithyniidae.
GGGCCUGCCCAGUGAUAUUUCAACGGCCGCGGUACUCUGACCGUGCAAAGGUAGCAUAAUCAUUUGCCCUAUAAUUAAGGGCUAGUAUGAACGGUCUAACAAGAAUGGGACUGUCUCUUUUAAAAUCCUUAGAAUUUGGUCUUUAGGUGAAGAAACCUAAAUUAUAUUGAUAGACAAGAAGACCCUAUCGAGCUUUAAAACAAUUAGUUAAACAAAUAGAUAACACUAACUUUAACUAAAAAUUUUGGUUGGGGCGACUAAGGAACAAACAAAGCUUCCUUAAUAAAUUCUACACUAAUAAGUAAUGAUCCAAAAUAUUUGAUUAAUAAAAUUAGUUACCGUAGGGAUAACAGCAUAAUCUUCUUCAAGAGUUCUUAUCGAAAAGAAUGUUUGUGACCUCGAUGUUGGACUAGGAUAUCCAAAAGAUGCAGAAGUCUUUAAAGGUUGGUCUGUUCGACCAAUAAAAUCCUACGUGAUCUAUCU